Molecule: ribosomal RNA, 435 nt
Filed under: uncultured bacterium
Lineage: Bacteria
Description: partial 16S ribosomal RNA
Rfam family: Bacterial small subunit ribosomal RNA
Source: RNAcentral
GAUGAACGCUGGCGGUAUGCUUAGCACAUGCAAGUCGAACGGACUCUUCGGAGUUAGUGGCGGACGGGUGAGUAACGCGUGAGAAUCUGGCUUUGGGUUCGGGACAACCACUGGAAACGGUGGCUAAUACCGGAUGUGCCGAGAGGUAAAAGAGAAAUUGCCUGAAGAUGAGCUCGCGUCUGAUUAGCUAGUUGGUGAGGUAAAGGCUCACCAAGGCAGCGAUCAGUAGCUGGUCUGAGAGGAUGACCAGCCACACUGGGACUGAGACACGGCCCAGACUCCUACGGGAGGCAGCAGUGGGGAAUUUUCCGAAAUGGGCGAAAGCCUGACGGAGCAGUACCGCGUGAGGGAAGAAGGCUCUUGGGUUGUAAACCUCUUUUCUUAGGGAAGAACAAAAUGACGGUACCUAAGGAAUCAGCAUCGGCUAACUCCGUG